UUGUUUGGGGUUUUUUUGGUUUUUUUUU
RNAcentral lists this small RNA (28 nucleotides) under Arabidopsis thaliana (thale cress). RNAcentral's name for it is "ATSL253120". Lineage: Eukaryota; Viridiplantae; Streptophyta; Magnoliopsida; Brassicales; Brassicaceae. The record is from RNAcentral.